Molecule: ribosomal RNA, 361 nt
Filed under: Rhabdias sp. 4 MB-2009
Lineage: Eukaryota; Metazoa; Nematoda; Chromadorea; Rhabditida; Rhabdiasidae
Description: partial 12S ribosomal RNA
Source: RNAcentral
ACUCUUAAAAAUUAUAAGGUGGAAUUAGAAUUUUUUUGUAAAUUUUUGUUUGUAAUUUUAAAUUUUGAUUAGAACCAAUCAGAGUAGAACCUGAUUAGACAAAUAUUAAAAGAGCAGAAGUAAAGUUGUAUUUAAACUGAAAGGAUAUUGGCAGGUGAUCUAAAUUAUCUUUGGAGGCUGAGUAUUAAUUGAGAACCCUCAUUAGCUACUUUAUCUAUUUUCGCAUGUAUGAUCGUUUAUUUAAAUCUUAAAGAUAGUAAUUAAAGAUUUAUUAUCUAUAAAAAUAGAUAAAUACCCUGGUUUAUGAUUAAAGUAAGAUUUGGCCCACAUUAUUUUAUAAUGUGGAUAUUAUUUUUGGCUG